CCGGCGGUUCGCCGCCGGUGUUGUUGUGAGAAGUUCAUUAAACCUUAUCAUUUAGAGGAAGGAGAAGUCGUAACAAGGUUUCCGUAGGUGAACCUGCGGAAGGAUCAUUG
RNAcentral lists this ribosomal RNA (110 nucleotides) under Geheebia siccula. Its description in RNAcentral is "Didymodon tophaceus subsp. sicculus partial 18S ribosomal RNA". It matches the Rfam family "Eukaryotic small subunit ribosomal RNA", at positions 1724 to 1831 of the family's 1831-position model. The record is from RNAcentral. Lineage: Eukaryota; Viridiplantae; Streptophyta; Bryopsida; Pottiales; Pottiaceae. RNAcentral also lists the same sequence under 1 other name.